This 158-nucleotide long non-coding RNA is filed under the name Callithrix jacchus (white-tufted-ear marmoset). RNAcentral describes it as "lncRNA (ENSCJAG00000080769.1)". Lineage: Eukaryota; Metazoa; Chordata; Mammalia; Primates; Cebidae. The record is from RNAcentral.
AUUAUAUUUCUCACUCUGUUUUGUUCUUUCCUUCAGUAAAUUCCUUUAUAUGCAGAUUUAAGGUGUACAUAUACCCCAGGUUACCUGCUGCUGAGAUUCUGCCUCAAGUCACUUGCCAGCCCACUGUUUGAUGCCCUUGGGUAAGGUGUUCACACUUG